GCUCCAUUAGUUCAGCGAUAGAACAGUAGACCCUAAACCUACGUGUCACAGGUUUGAAUCCUGUAUGGAGCA
RNAcentral lists this transfer RNA (72 nucleotides) under Caudoviricetes sp. Its description in RNAcentral is "tRNA-OTHER". It matches the Rfam family "tRNA". From Rfam's summary of the family: Transfer RNA (tRNA) molecules are approximately 80 nucleotides in length. Their secondary structure includes four short double-helical elements and three loops (D, anti-codon, and T loops). The record is from RNAcentral. Lineage: Duplodnaviria; Heunggongvirae; Uroviricota; Caudoviricetes.